AUGGAGAUGAGCUUCGGGGGCGGAGGUGGAGGGGAGUGCUCGUCGUCGUCCAUGGCGUCGAUACAGUUCAGCGGUGCCCCUCCCCCUCCCCGCCUCCCACCCCCCUCGCCGCCGCCUCCUCCUUCCUCCAGCACUACAUAUCCAACCUCGCCUCUCGCUUCGCCGCCCCGCGCUCGCCGCCCCGCACUAUGGUCUCAAGAGCUCGCCAGAAUGGUCGCCCACAGGUUCCACCAGUACCAGGUGGUGGCUCGCACGCUGCCGACCCCCGGCGAUGAGCAGCCCAAGAUCUACCACAUGAAGCUCUGGGCCACCAACGAGGUCCGCACCAAGUCCAAGUUCUGGUACUUCCUGAGGAAGCUCAAGAAGGUGAAGAAGGCCAACGGCCAGAUGCUCGCCAUCAACGAGGGGUCCUGGUCCUCUCCCUCGUCAUCCUCGGCGGUGGCAACGCGGCUUGGCGCCAUCGCCGUGCCCUGCGUCAACGUCACGAUCAGCUUCACGGAUCGCCGUCUUCACGAGGUUGGUCGAAGAGGGCUGGAGUUCAUGCCGUUCCUGCUGUCCCUGUUCGUGUUCCUCUUCGGCACCUCCUGGUUCAUCUUCGACCUCAUCCUGUUAAAAAUGGGACUUGGAAUAAUAUGCAAGUUUCAUCUUUUCUAUUGCAGCGAGUUGGUCGGUUAUGCACUGGCAGCGGUGGGUGCGAUGGUCCAGGCCAAGCAGAGAAAGAUAGGUGAGAUAUGCUCAGAGGUGAUCAUCGACAAGUCCUCGGACAAGAUGACGAUGGAGAGUAUAGUGGAGGCACAGCACAUCAUGAAGAAGCUGCACGAGUACGUCAAGACGACGAACGUCGUGAUCCUCAGGCUAUGGUCCAUUAUUCUAGCCCGGUCACCAAACGUAUAUAUCAUUGCACACUAG
Molecule: ribosomal RNA, 909 nt
Filed under: Triticum aestivum (bread wheat)
Lineage: Eukaryota; Viridiplantae; Streptophyta; Magnoliopsida; Poales; Poaceae
Description: partial small subunit ribosomal RNA
Source: RNAcentral